Molecule: ribosomal RNA, 406 nt
Filed under: uncultured bacterium
Lineage: Bacteria
Description: partial 16S ribosomal RNA
Rfam family: Bacterial small subunit ribosomal RNA
Source: RNAcentral
AUUGCACGCUGGCGGCAGGCCUAACACAUGCAAGUCGAACGAGUGGCGGACGGGUGAGUAAUGUCUGGGAAACUGCCUGAUGGCGGGGGAUAACUACUGGAAACAGUAGCUAAUACCGCAUACCAUCAGAUGUGCCCAGAUGGGAUUAGCUAGUUGGUGGGGUAACGGCCCACCAAGGCGACGAUCCCUAUCUGGACUGAGAGGAUGACCAGCCACGCUGGAACUGAGACACGGUCCAGACUCCUACGGGCGGCACCAGUGGGGAAGAUUGCACAAUGGGCGCAAGCCUGAUGCAGCCAUGCCGAGUGUAUGAGGAAGUCCUUCGGGUUGUAAAGUACUUUCAGCGAGGAGUCGUUACCCGCAGAAGAAGCAACGGCUAACUCCGUGCCAGCAGCCGCGGUAAUUC